RNAcentral lists this long non-coding RNA (589 nucleotides) under Pongo abelii (Sumatran orangutan). RNAcentral describes it as "lincRNA". The record is from RNAcentral. Lineage: Eukaryota; Metazoa; Chordata; Mammalia; Primates; Hominidae.
AUGAAGUACCAUGCCAUGAAAUGUGGAACGUGGCUUCCUGAACAAUGGCAGACAUUCUGAAUGUUGAAAUGUGAAGGUGCAGGGGAAUUUGUUCACCAUGGAUUGAAAGUUAACCAAACAGAAAUGGCAGCUAGGAGACAGCCAGACAUGCAAUUUCCUUCUAGUCCUUCAGUUCUUCAUGCUGAUGGACACCUGCAUAUUGAAUUACUUCAUCUCAGGCAAACUUACUACAGAAGAAAACAAGAAACUACAAUGGAAAAUUAAAAUCACCCAAAAUGAUGAACAGUUAAGUUAUAAAUGAAUGCUGACAAUAGAAAACAGUUAGCAUAAUGUCUUGUGUAGUUUAAAUAUAUGUAGAAGUAAGAUGAAUUUAACAAUGACACAAAAUCUGAAAUGGAGUAAACACAUUUCAAAUGUUCUCUAAUUCUAACAGUAUUGGAUGAACUGGUAGAGAAAAUAAUUUGUAUUCAAUAUAAUAAAUAAAACACAGAAAAUGUAAUGUCUUAUAAUAUUUAGUAGAACCAGUAAAAGAGUAUUGAAAGAAUGUAACUAAGAAGCCAAAUAAAGAAAAAAAAUUAUUAUUUCAAAA